RNAcentral lists this ribosomal RNA (379 nucleotides) under uncultured eukaryote. Its description in RNAcentral is "partial 18S ribosomal RNA". It matches the Rfam family "Eukaryotic small subunit ribosomal RNA", at positions 592 to 975 of the family's 1831-position model. The record is from RNAcentral.
CAAUAGCGUAUAUUAAAGUUGUUGCAGUUAGAACGCUCGUAGUCGGAUUUCGGGGCGGGCCGACCGGUCUGCCGAUGGGUACGCACUGGUCGGCGCGUCCUUCCUUCCGGAGACCGUGCCUACUCUUAACUGAGCGGGGGCGGGAGACGGAACGUUUACUUUGAAAAAAUCAGAGUGUUUCAAGCAGGCAGUGCGCUCUUGCAUGGAUUAGCAUGGGAUAAUGAAAUAGGACUUUGGUGCUAUUUUGUUGGUUUCGAACACCGAAGUACUGAUUAAAAGGGACAGUCAGGGGCACUCGUAUUCCGCCGAGAGAGGUGAAAUUCUCAGACCAGCGGAAGACGAACCACUGCGAAAGCAUUUGCCAGGGAUGUUUUCACUG